RNAcentral lists this long non-coding RNA (364 nucleotides) under Equus asinus (donkey). RNAcentral's name for it is "lncRNA (ENSEASG00005023701.1)". The record is from RNAcentral. Lineage: Eukaryota; Metazoa; Chordata; Mammalia; Perissodactyla; Equidae.
AGGCACCCUGACAGCCAGGCCAGCAAGAGCCCUGACAUGUGGUCUAACCCCUGCCCUGUGAUGACUUCCUGGCAUCCCUGAACAAGAGCUGAGCUUCUGCUCAGACCCCUCCCUGGAGAGAAAACCUCUGGGCUGCUGUGCAGGCCAUUCUGUGACAAGGAUUCCAACACCUCGCUUGACCCACCAGAAGAGCUGGGUCCCGGGAUGGCAGGGAGAGAACCACCAGGCCAGCUCCUGGGGGAGAGAGGCCCAAAGAAAUGCUAGGAACUGAUUCCUGUGCUCACCUGUGACCACCCAGCUUGAGACAAUAGACUUGCUUCCUGCUGCGGCCACCAAGAUGGCAGACCCACUACCUGCUGUGUCC